CUAGAAUAUAAUUUGAGGUUUAACCUGCCCACUGAUAAGUUAAAUGGCCGCAGUAAUUUGACUGUGCAAAGGUAGCAUAAUCAUUAGUUUUUUAAUUAAAAGCUAGAAUGAAUGGUUGGACGAAAUAAAAUCUGUCUCUAAUUAAUAGAUAAAAAUUAAUUUUUAAGUUAAAAAGCUUAAAUUAUUAUAAAAGACGAGAAGACCCUAUAGAUUUUUAUAUUAUAGAUUUUAAUUUUAAUUUAGAAAAUUUUAUUUAUUAUAAUCUAUGGUAUUUUAUUGGGGUAAUAGGGAGAUUAAAUUAAUUCUUUUUUUUAUAGUCAAUAAUUUUUGUUUUUUUGAUCCUUUAUUAAAGAUUAUAAGAUUAAAUUACCUUAGGGAUAACAGCGUAAUUUUUUUGGAGAGUUCUUAUCGAUAAAAAAGUUUGCGACCUCGAUGUUGGAUUAAAAAUUAUUUUAGGUGUAGUAGUUUGAAAAUUUGGUCUGUUCGACCAUUAAAUUUUUACAUGAUCUGAGUUCAGACCGGUGUAAGCCAGGUCGGUUUCUAUCUUUAUUGGGUUAAUAUAUUUUAGUACGAAAGGACCAAAUAUUGAAUAUAUAGAUAUUUUUAAGUUGAAUAAUA
Molecule: ribosomal RNA, 618 nt
Filed under: Chostonectes nebulosus
Lineage: Eukaryota; Metazoa; Arthropoda; Insecta; Coleoptera; Dytiscidae
Description: partial 16S ribosomal RNA
Rfam family: Bacterial large subunit ribosomal RNA
Source: RNAcentral